Molecule: ribosomal RNA, 459 nt
Filed under: uncultured bacterium
Lineage: Bacteria
Description: partial 16S ribosomal RNA
Rfam family: Bacterial small subunit ribosomal RNA
Source: RNAcentral
CCUACGGGAGGCAGCAGUGAGGAAUAUUGGUCAAUGGACGAGAGUCUGAACCAGCAAUGUAGCGUGAAGGAUGACUGCCCUAUGGGUUGUAAACUUCUUUUAUAUGGGAAUAAAAUGUUCCACGUGAGGGAUCUUGUAUGUACCAUAUGAAUCAGGAUCGGCUAACUCCGUGCCAGCAGCCGCGGUAAUACGGAGGAUCCGAGCGUUAUCCGGAUUUAUUGGGUUUAAAGGGUGCGCAGGCGGCCUGUUAAGUCAACAGUAAAAGCACGGGGCUCAACCCCGGCGAGCCGUGGAAACUGGCGGGCUAGAGUGGGAGAGAGGGACGCGGAAUGCGAGGUGUAGCGGUGAAAUGCUUAGAUAUCGCGCAGAACCCCGGUUGCGAAGGCAGCGUACCGGCUCCACACUGACGCUGAGGCACGAAAGCGUGGGUAGCGAACAGGAUUAGAUACCCCUGUAGUC